UAUUAGAAAAAAAAUAUAAAAUAUAUAUAUAUAUAUAUAUAUAUAUGCAAUAAUGUAAAAUUAGCUUUUUGUACACAAGCAUUUGUUUAAUCCCACUUUUCCAUGUUUUCAUCUAACUCUCUAUAAUGUUUUGCAGACAAGUAAGCUACAAGCUUAAAAAAUUUCUUCCGCACAAGUGUUUAAAAUAAAAGUGAACUUCAGAUCAUUAUAAGCGAGCUAUAAGCUGCAAACAGCUAAUAGCUUCAUCAAAACUGAUCGUUACAAUUAUCAUCACUUCAGCUCAAUAUUUUAGUGCUGUCAUAGUUCUUCUGUACCUGCUCUUAGGUAUACUUGUUUACCUUCACUAGCUGCUGCUCCUGUUUCAAAUCAAACAAUUUGAGAGGAAUGCUGCCAAUUUCUGAUUUUUCACCAUCAUUUGUUAUCAGAGUAUUCCUUCCAAGCUUAAAGAAUUCUAGUUUUUCGUGUGUGUUAGAUGCAGCAUCAAUGAAU
Molecule: non-coding RNA, 489 nt
Organism: Parasteatoda tepidariorum (common house spider)
Lineage: Eukaryota; Metazoa; Arthropoda; Arachnida; Araneae; Theridiidae
Source: RefSeq, a predicted model, not a curated record